UGGGGAAUAUUGCACAAUGGGGGAGCCCUGAUGCAGCAACGCCGCGUGAAGGAAGACGGUUUUCGGAUUGUAAACUUCUAUCAAUAGGGACGAAAGAGAUGACGGUACCUAAAUAAGAAGCCCCGGCUAACUACGUGCCAGCAGCCGCGGUAAUACGUAGGGGGCAAGCGUUAUCCGGAAUUACUGGGUGUAAAGGGUGAGUAGGCGGCACUGUAAGUAAGAUGUGAAAGCCUUAGGCUUAACCUGAGGAUUGCAUUAUAAACUACAGAGCUAGAGUACAGGAGAGGAAAGCGGAAUUCCUAGUGUAGCGGUGAAAUGCGUAGAUAUUAGGAAGAACACCAGUGGCGAAGGCGGCUUUCUGGACUGGAAACUGACGCUGAGGCACGAAAGCGUGGGGAGCGAACAGGAUUAGAUACC
RNAcentral lists this ribosomal RNA (417 nucleotides) under uncultured bacterium. RNAcentral's name for it is "bacterial SSU rRNA". It matches the Rfam family "Bacterial small subunit ribosomal RNA", at positions 355 to 786 of the family's 1533-position model. The record is from RNAcentral.